UAGGGAAUCUUCCGCAAUGGGCGCAAGCCUGAUGGAGCAACGCCGCGUGUGUGAUGAAGGCUUUCGGGUCGUAAAGCACUGUUGUAUGGGAGAAAUGCUAGAAUAGGGAAUGAUUCUAGUUCGACGGUACCAUACCAGAAAGGGACGGCUAAAUACGUGCCAG
Molecule: ribosomal RNA, 163 nt
Filed under: uncultured bacterium
Lineage: Bacteria
Description: partial 16S rRNA
Rfam family: Bacterial small subunit ribosomal RNA
Source: RNAcentral